This 11055-nucleotide long non-coding RNA is filed under the name Hordeum vulgare. RNAcentral's name for it is "long non-coding RNA (HVUL_LNC012105)". Lineage: Eukaryota; Viridiplantae; Streptophyta; Magnoliopsida; Poales; Poaceae. The record is from RNAcentral.
UUAGGACUCCUCUUCUGCCCCUCGCAAGCCCCCUAGUCAAUCACCAGCCGAGACGCCCGCCACCGUAUCCCUGAUGCCUCCGGCCAGCCCAAGCCUCCCCCUCCUUCCCUAAGCCUCCGUUAGCCUUCUGCUACACCAUGGAACCCAUCCCCGGCACCAAUUUAUCUCGAGAGCCACCAAGGACGAAGGCCCUCUUCCUCCUGAUGCCGCCGUCCGCCAUGAGUGAAGCCUUGAUCAGCUCUAAGCUUCCUGGUGACCCCCUCCAGCUCCAUGAGAUGCGGUCCAUCCUCGUGAGCAUGCCGGUCUAUCGAGCUUGGAGGACGACGCACCCUAGCGCAGGCAAUUCUCGCCGGAGUCCGGCCUCUAUUCCUCCCAAGCGCGCGUUGGGCAGGAAGAUGAACUGAUAGGAGGUCCCCACCAGUCUGUGAGCUAGUCUCCUCCGUCGUUGGCGCAUCGCGUGGAGUGCCUUUUGUCACACCAUGUUUUCACAUCUCUUGUCAAUGGUGUUUGAAGAUUUGAUAUAAAUUCAAACUUUUUAAGUAAAUGCUAUGAGUGUCUUGAUUGUCAUUGUUUGUAUGUGUGCUUGUGAGUAGAUAGCUAAGGCCAGUUUUUAUAAAUAUUAUUUCCACAAAUUUUUUAUUUAUUUAUUUUGGUAACCGAAAACCUUGCUUUGGGGUUUGCACUACAGGUCCCUGAAUUUAAGGGAGUGCCUUCAUUCAAAGAUUGUAUUCUGACUCUAAUACUAAUAUAACUCCUCAAAACCAUAAAAUAAUUAUUUUUAAAGUAAUUUUUGUAUUUUAUUUAUAUGUCCUUUUCUAAGGCCAGAAAUGAUAUAUCUGGGUGAAAAAUUAUUUUUCUACCUUAGAAAAAUCUGAGAAAGUUUAGGAAGACUCUGAGGACAUAUAUUUUCCAUACAUAAGAGUUUCAAGCCCUAGUCACGUUCGAAAUACUGGAGCCGACUUUUAAAAACCAAUUCUGUCUGUUUUGAUCUUCUGAAAUAUUUUCAAAGGAAAUAUUCUCAAUAAAUUCCCAGAAAAUGCUAGCAUGUCCCACAUUCUAUAUUCGGUGAUCAUGCAAAGUUUCACCACCAUCCAAGGUGAUUUGUUUCAUCGAAUAAUUCAAAAACCCUCUUUGUUCAGAAUAAAGUUGAAGCAACUCUACAUUGCCAAGUUUGUCCAUCUCAUCUCAAAGUUUGCAUGAGUGCUCAAUACCUCAAAUAAGGAGGUCAUGCCUAGAUUUGGAUUUGUGGGAAUUUAUUUGCUCACAUCUUCUCACAAGAUUGUAGGUGUGCCCAUUUGUGGGUAUUUUCAAGUUUACAUUGUCAAACUUAUCGAGUGGAGCUCAAAUCUGGUAAAGCCUCCUAAUUAUAUCCAAAACCAAAUCCUUUUAAAUUCCAUUCCAUUUGGAGGAGGUUAACUUCCCCAAACAUGAAGUAAACACCUUCUGUCAGAUUUGAAAAUCAACAUCUAGCACCCUCCACAUCUAGUAAACCCUUCACUCCAAACUCAUGACACAGAUUGCCUGUGUCUUCCGACAACUGCAGACGAGAGGCCUAGCACUGGUUCAAUGAGAGGGAGCCAAAAUCCCCAUUUUAGCACUUCAAUCAAGACUGACAACAUCACUUUACCACUCUCCCCUUGGCCUGCUUGAUCCCUCUCGGCCCCUAGUAUCCAAGGAGCAUCUAACCACUCCCCGAGACACACUAGGCAUGGCCAAGACGCGCCAGAUUGCGCCAGCAUGCCAUGGCAUGCAAAGGCUGCGGUCUGGACGCGCUACAGGGCACACCUGAUCCCAAGGAGGCUAGCGUCGGCCAGUUCCCGCCCCUCCCGUUGCCCCUCUUUGACCACACCGACGACCGAGACCAGGGCAACCUCGGGCCCCACUUUUACCCCCUCACCUCUUCCCCUGGCGACGCGUGCCCUCAUGCGCCCGAACUGACCAGAGUAACCCAUCCAACUUAACGCGCCAGCAGCGCUGCCCCCGCUCCGCCUGAAGAUGCUGCAUGGUCCAAAACCGUGUCCACAAUACCACGGGUUCUCUCCCGAGCCCUCUUUCCCUCUCCUGCCACAACAGCAAAACCACCGGCGCACCAUCGUUCGGUGACACGUCGCCUGCCUAUUUAAAGGCUACUCCGCUCUCCUCCGCACCUCCAGAACCUCCCUCUCCUCCCCAAUCGACAAGCCUGACCACCCCCUUCGCCUAAAAGAGCCCCGGUAAUCGAGAUCGACCGAGGCGCCGCCACGUCGGGGCUCCGUCGAUCUCGGGCUACACGCACGCUCCGACGCUCCUUUCACUUCCCCUGUGACCGUAAAGACCUCCCGAACCUUCUCCACCACUCCCCCGUCCUUCUCCUUGUUCCAAGCACCAUUCCCAGCAACUUCCCGAAAGGUCUCCACUGAGGCUUCGUCUUCCCCCGCGACACAUGCCAUCUUCAUCAUCCCCUCGACCCCCAUCUGGUAGGCGAUAGUGCCACGAGCCCAUUCCUGUGCUCGCCUGACCUCGAGAACCACAGAGCUACCGCCGGUGAGCCGCCCCUCCUCUCUAUCUAGAGGUAGGAGAUGACCCCGACAGGAAGGACCCACCUAUCGUCGACAUCUCUCUCCCCCUCUCUCCUCUCUAUAGUAGGUCGUACGUCCCCGUGCGUCAGGUUUGAACCUGACGGCAUGCGCGCCUGGGCUGGCUUGCUGGCCGAGCGAGGCCACUGAGCUGGCUCCUUUUUAUUUAUUUUAUUUCUUGUUUUUAAAAUAAAUCCAUAGGACUAAUUCUUUAACCAAAUUUAAAUAUUUCUCCACCAUAAUUCUUGUAAAAUUGUGUAGUAUUUAAUAGUACCGUGUGUGGAAUUUUUUUGAAAACUUCUAUGGAUAGAUUUAUUUUAAAACAUGGUUUAAGUAUUUUUAACUUCUGUUAAAGAGACUUAAAAAAUACUUGUUCAUUUCAAAACCAGAAACAAAUAUUUUGAUUAAUAAUAAUAGGAUUUUACAGAAUAGGAUAACAUUUUUAUGUGAGUUUGUACUCUAUUUUUGGUUGUGGUCCUUAUUAUUAUUAUUUCUAUUACGAUUAUAGAUCACACGUUUGACGUAGGACUUGGACCCGAAGACCUCGAAAACCCCGGAUACCUAGUUGAUCAAGGCAAGCAGCCCUUUGACCAUGUUUGAGAAAAUAUUUUAUGCAUGCCAUGUUGAUUACUUUAUUCCGAUGCAUCUGAUCAUGAUUAGUCAAUAAACCCUCGGUAUGGUGUUACCAAUGGCUCCUCUGGAGCACUUGCAUUUGAGCAUGACCUUACCAUCUAUGAGGGUCACGCUGAUGAAAAUUGACAAGUAGACAGUAGUGCUAUGCAUAAGAUGAGCAUAUGCAUGGUGAUGGUAACACAUAGGCAAUUACAAAGACUUUUCGAAAACCCGGUCGGGUGCCACUAAUGGCCAAGGGUGAUGGUGUUGAGAUGGUGAACACUUGAGAAAGAAGUGGUGUACCGGAAAAAGGUUUUGUGUGUGUGGUUUCGGAAAUGGGAGUAGAUUUAAGAUUUGCUGACUAUCCCAACCUUACUUGUACAACUGAUACGUCUCCAACGUAUCUAUAAUUUUUGAUGGUUUCAUGCUAUUAUCUUGUCAAACUUUGGAUGUUUUGCAUGCCUUUUAUAUAUUUUGUGGGACUAACUCAUUAACUCAGUGCCAAGUGCCACUUUCUAUUUUUCCAUGUUUUUGACCCCUUUCAGAGGAGAUUUUGAAACAGAGUCCAAACAGAAGAAAAUCCUCGAAAAGAUUUUUUCGUAACCGAAGAAGAUCAGGAAGCUUGAGAGCCAAGGCAGGGGAGCCUCAGGGGCCCCACAAGCCCCCACCCCGCGGCCAGGCGGGAGGUCGCGGCCCAUAGGCUUGUGGGCCCCCUAGGCGCCCUCUGACCUAGGGGUUGCGCCUAUAUAUUCCCUAAAAAUCCCAAAAAAAUCAGGGGAUCAUCGAAAUUACUUUUCCGCCGCCGUAAGCUUCUGUCUCCGCAAGAUCCCAUCUAGGGCACGUUUUGGUGCCAUGCCGGAGGGGUGAUUCAGAUACGGAGGGCUUCUUCAUCAACACCAUGACCUCUCCGAUGAUGUGUGAGUUGUUCACCAUAGACCUACGGGUCCAUAGCUAGUAACUAGAUGGCUUCUUCUCUCUCUUGGAUCUUCAAUACAAAGUUCUCCAUGAUCUUCAUGGAGAUCUAUCCGAUGUAAUCUUCUUUUGCGGUGUGUUUGUCGAGAUCCGAUGAAUAGUGGAUUUAUGAUCAGGUUAUCUAUGAAUCUUAUUUGAGUUUCUUCUGAUCUCUCUUAUGCAUGAUUUCAUAUCCUUGUAAUUCUCUUCGAGUUGUGGGUUUUGUUUGGGAAACUAGAUCUAUGAUUCUUGCAAUGUGAGAAGUGCUUGGUUUUGGGUUCAUGCCGUGCGGUGACUUCACCCAGUGACAGAAGGGGUAGCGAGGCACGCAUCGUGUUGUUGCCAUCAAGGGUAAAAAGAUGGGGUUUUCAUUAUUGGUUUGGGAUUAUCCCUCUACAUCAUGUCAUCUUGCUUAAGGCGUUACUCUGUUCGUCAUGAACUAAAUACACUUGAUGCAUGUUGGAUAGUGGUCGAUGUGUGGAGUAAUACUAGUAGAUGCAAAAAGUAUCGGUCUACUUGUCUCGGACGUGAUGCCUAUAUGUAUGAUCAUUGCCUUAGAUAUCGUCAUAACUUUGUGCGGUUCUAUCAAUUGCUCGACAGUAAUUUGUUUACCCAACGUGAUAUUUGCUAUUUUGAGAGAAGCCUCUAGUGAACACUAUGGCCCUCGACUCUACUCCACACCAUAUUUUCAAGCUUACACUUUUUACUUCGUUGCACUUUACGCCUUCAGGUCUCACUUUGCAAACAAUCUUGAAGGGAUUGACAACCCCUUUGAAGCGUUGGGUGCAAGCUUGUUUGUGUUUGCGUAGGUACUCUGGACUUGACGAGACCCUCCUACUGGAUCGAUACCUUGGUUCUCAAACUGAGGGAAAUACUUACUGCUCCUGUGCUGCAUCACCCUUUCCUCUUCAAGGGAAAAACCGACACAAAACAAGAGAAGUGGCAAGAAGAAUUCCUGGCGUUUCUAGGGAAGGACUUCUGUUGCCGUAGCAGAAGGAUUUCUGGCGCCGUUGCCGCAGAGGAUCAAGUCAAGAACUCAUCCAAGUAGGUGUCGCAAACUCAUAUCUUGCAUUUACUUUGUUUGCCAGUUGCCUCUCGUUUUCCUCUCCCCCACUUCACCAAUUUGCCUUUUUCCGUUUGCCGUUUUAUUCACCUUUUUCUCGCCGGAUCUCCUUGUGUUACCAUGCGCCUUCUAUUAGCUUGCAUAUUUGCUUGCUAAAAAUCCAUUGAUAUGGAUCCUCAUCCACUUGUUAAUCUUUUCAAGAGAUCCAAUUAUGAGGAACCAAUUUCUAGUGAGUGGAUGAUGACCCACAAGUAUAGGGGAUCAAUCGUAGUACUUUCGAUAAGUAAGAAUGUCGAACCCAACGAGGAGAAGAAGGCUCUGAUAAAUGGAUUUCAGCAAGGUAAUAACUGCAAGCACUGAAAGUAGAGGUAACAAGUGAUUGUGUAGCGAGGUGAAACUUAGCAAGCAAAGAGUAACUAGUAACAAGUAGUAGCAACGGUGCAGCAAGUGGCCCAAUCCAUUUUCUAGCAAGGGACAAGCCUGAACAAAGUCUUAUAGGAGGAAAAACGCUCCCAAGGACACACGGGAAUUUCUGUCAUGCUAGUUUCAUCAUGUUCAUAUGAUUCGCGUUCGUUACCUUGAUAGUUUGAUAUGUGGGUGGACCGGCGCUAGGGUACUGCCCUUACUUGGAGAAGCAUCCCACUUAUGAUUGACCUCUCUCGCAAGCAUCUAGCACUACAAAAUAAGAAUUAAGACAAAGUCUAACCAUAGCAUUAAACUAGUCGAUCCAAAUCAGCCCCUCACGAAGCAACGCAUAGACUGGGGUUUAAGCUUCUGUCACUCCAGCAACCCAUCAUCUACUUACUACUUCCAAUGCCUUCCUCUAGGCCCAAAUAUGUUGAAGUGUUAUGUAGUCGAUGUUCACAUAACACCACUAAAGGAAAAACAACAUACAACAUAUCAAAAUAACGAACGAAUAUCAAAUUCACAUGACUAUUAUCAGCAUGACUUAUCCCAUAUCCUCAGGAACAAAAGUAACUACUCACAAAGCAUAAUCAUAAUCAUGAUCAGAGGUGUAAUGAAUAGCAUGAAGGAUCUGAACAUAAACUCUUCCACCAUGUAAUCCAAUUAGCAUCAACUACAAAGAGUAAUCAACACUACUAGCAACCUUACAAGUACCAAUCGGUGUUGCGAGACGAAGAUUGGUUACAAGAGAUGAACUAGGGAUUGGAGAGGAGAUGGUGCUGAUGAAGAUGUUGAUUGAGAUGCCUCCCCUCCGACGAGAGGAGUGUUGGUGAUGACGAUGGCGAAGAUUUCCCCCUCCGGGAGGGAAGUUUCCCCGCCAGGAUCCUGUCGGGGCUCUAGAUUGGAUCUCCUCAAGUUCCGCCUUGUGGCAGCGGCGAAACCAUUGAAAAGCUCCCGAUUGAUUUUUUCUGGACCAAGACGCUUCAUAUAGCAAAACAGGGGGGCUAGUGGGCCGUUAGGAAACCCUUAAACUUGCCCUGCGCCACCAGGGGGGGUGGUGGCGGUGGGCAAGCUUGUGGAGCCCUGGUGUCCCCCCUCUGGUAGUUCUUUCACCCAGUAUUUUUUAUAUAGUCCAGAAAAAAUCGACGUAACUUUUCAGGGCAUUUGGAGAUGUGCAGAAUAGUGGACUAGGAUUUGCUCCUUUUCUAGUCCAGAAUUCCAGCUGCCUGAAUUCUCCCUCUUCAAAUAAACCUUGCAAAAUAAGAGAUAAAAUGCAUAAAUAUGUUACCACAAGUAAUAUAACAGCCCAAAAAGCAAUAAAUAUCAACAUGAAAGCAUGAUGCAAAAUGGACGUAUCAACUCCCCCAAGUUUAGACCUCGCUUGUCCUUUAGCGAAAACCAAGUUCCAUAAACAUGUCCACAUGUUGAGGGACGAAGGUGUGGAUAAAACAUAAUACGGACAUGAGGGCAUCAUGAUCACACAUAAAACAACAAUACAUCAUAAAGAUUCUUAUGGGAAAGUAACAAUUCCUUCACAAAACAAAGCAUGAAGCAAAAAUCUUACCAAGAAGUAACCAACAAUAAUUCAUAGUCAUUGAAGCAAUUGCAAUUUAUCACAACAUCAGAAAGAGUCAAAUAAGAGCUUGUAAGGCAAACCCACAUACUCAAUCAUAUCUUUUGUUUUCCACAAUUGUUACAACUCACGUGGUACUCAUGGUGUCAAAGUUUCAGCUGGACAUAGAGGAAGAUAGGGGCUUGUAGUUUUGCCUCCCAACGGUUUACCUCAAGGGUAAAGUCAACAACAAUAAAGCAUAAGUACUCAACUCCAAGUUGAUAUAUGAAUAUAGAUCUUUCCCAAGCAUGUGACGGCAGCCAAGACAAAGGCAAAAAGGGAAUUUGUGAAGAUCACCAUGACUCUUACAAGUGCAAAAAGUAAAGGUACAAGAUAGGCCCUUCGCGGAGGGAAGCAGAGGUUGUCAUGCGCUUUUGAGGUUUGAAUGUGUGUCCUCUUAGUGCGGAGGAACGUCACUUUAUAUUGCCUCCUAUGAUAAAGAACUUUAUUAUGCAGUCUGUUGCUUUUAUGUCUUCCUCAUCACAGGUUCGUACAAAGCUUAUUUUCCACACACUAAUAGAUCAUACAUAUUACAGAGCAAUUUUUAUUGCUUGCACCGAUGACGACUUACUUGAAGGAUCUUAUUCAAUCCAUAGGUAGGUAUGGUGGACUCUCAUGGCAAAACUGGUUGGAGGUUUAUGGAUGCACAAGUAGUAUCUCUACUUCGUGCGGGAGUUUUGGCUAAUAUGAGGUGGAAGCAAUCGUCACAUGCUAAGGGAUCUCUAAUCAUAUAACAUUGUUUGGAACCAAGCAAACACAAUUCAUUAUGUUGUCUUCCUUGUCCAACAUCUACUCCUAGUCAUGUAAUAGUUUGGUGAGUGCUCACAAUUGUAAAAAGUGUCUAAGAUGAUAUAUUUAUAUGUGAACCUAUCUUUCCUUAUUACUUCUUAUUAAUUGCAACAAUGUCUGAGGUCUAUAUUGAUUUAUUCUCAACAAGUUUCAAUCAUCAUACGUGUCAUAAGUGAAGUUAUCACUUUCCAUAAGAUCGUCUCAUGAUCUUUCAUGCUAUCGUUCUUUUCAUACUUUUUGAUCAUGGCACAAAGCAAAGCCCUUGACUAAGACACUCUUUAUUAUAUAGCUCGUAAGCUCGAAUACACUGGGGGAGAGACAAAAGCAAAAGACUCAAACUAAAAACUAAAGACGUAUUCCUCUAAAACAAGAAAUAAAAACUGAAAAAGAAGGAACUAAAACAAAGGUAAAAGAAAAAGAUAUAGAGGUGAUACGAUACCAGAGCAUCUCCCCCAAGCUUGGCAGAAGCCAAGGGGAUUGCCCAUACCAAUGCUUAGUCGUCUUCCUUUGGUGGUGAUGGUGGUGUUGUUGUUGGAGUAGUCUGAUCCUCCGUCUUCCAAGGCAUAGGUGCUCCAUCAUGGCAGGAUGAAUGAGUCACUGGAAUCCUCAAAUCUGCAGCCAACCUUAUUGAUUUAAAUCUGUGCUCAUACUCACAGUUUUGAUUCUGCAGGUCAUAGAUCUGGCCCUGAAGUUGAUCAACCCUAUCGUAGAGCCUAGAGAGGUGUUUCCCAAUAUCAAUGGCAUCCAUCUUGUGAUUCCUAGUGAAUUCUGUGACCAUCGUGUGGUUGGCGUUGAGUCCAUGCUCCACCAUCCCUUGGCACUUGAAGACUUGCUGCCCCAUUGCUUCGAGCCUCGUCUCCAUGCUUCCGGUCUUCUUAGGCCCCUCAACAUCACGGAUGUGCAACAUCCCCUCCCUCAUCUUCAUAGAUUGAGGGUGCUUCAGCACUUUCGUGAGGUAGGGAUUGAUGACCUUCUUGAAGAUCUUGUCCUUAGGAGCGUUUGGGGAAGUCAUGAUGAUCUAGAUCUGUCACAGAAAUAGGCUCGAAACGAAAACAGAGGAAAACUGCGUGAUACGGAGAUCAAAACCUUCGAGCGACUAUAUAUUGAUUUUUCUGGACCAGAAGGAGUGCUCUGCAAGAAAACGGAGUCCGGGAGGCACACGAGGUGCCCACAAGCUUGCCCUCCGCCACCAGGGGGGUAGGGGACGGUGGCAGGGCUUGGGGCCGCCUCGUUCGCUCUCUGGACUACUUUUAUUUUUCUAAUUUUCCAAAAGUUCCAAAACGGAGGAAAUUUCCUAUUGGAAAAGCAUCGGAGUCCAAUUUCUUACCGAAACGGAGACAUCUUCGUUUUCAGGGUCUGAAACAGGCUGAUAAACAUCCCUUAUGUACUCCUAUGGAGUUAUGACAUUGAUGAUAUUGGUCUCAACAUUUAUGGGAGUACCAGAGAUGUAAUGCUUUAUUCUUUGCCCAUUUACCACUCUAGGAAAAUUUCCUUCCGUGUUAUUGAUUUUGAUGGCACUGGAAUAAUAUACUUCCUCGAUAACAUAGAGACGUUCCCAUUUAGAAAGAAGCUUGCCUGCAAAGAAUCUCAAACGAGAAUUGUAUAGCAGGACAUAAUCACCUACAUUGAACUUUUGUUUCUGUAUUCGUUUGUCGUGCCAUCUCUUAACGUUUUCCUUGAACAACUUGGCAUUCUCAUAUGCCUGGGUUCUCCAUUCAUCUAACGAGCUGAUAUCAAACAACCGCUUCUCACCGGCAAGUUUGAAAUCAAAGUUGAGCUCUUUGAUUGCCCAAUAAGCUUUGUGUUCCAGCUCAAGAAGUAAAUGACAGGCCUUACUGUAAACCAUUUUAUACGGUGACAUGCCCAUGGGAUUCUUAUAAGCAGUCCUAUAAGCCCAUAGUGCAUCGUCAAGUUUGCUAGACCAGUUCUUUCGAGAUCUAUUGAAGGUCUUUUGUAGGAUCAACUUGAUCUCCCUAUUACUCAACUCUACUUGACCACUAGACUGAGGAUGAUAAGGAUAUGCAACUCUAUGGUUGACAUCAUAUGUAGCUAGCAUCUUGCGGAAAACACCAUGAAUGAAGUGUGAACCGCUAUCAGUCAUCAAGUAUCCAGGGACUCCAAAUCUUGGGAAUAUGACUUCUUUAAGCAUCUUAAUAGAGGUGUGGUGAUCAACAUUUUUAGUGGGGAUAGCUUCUACCCACUUAGUAACGUAAUCCACAGUAACCAAGAUGUGAGGGUACCCAUUGGAACUCGGGAAGGGUCCCAUAUAAUCAAAGCCCCAGACAUCAAAUGGUUCAAUGACAAGUGAAUAGUUCAUAGGCAUCUCUUGACGCUUACUGAUGUUCCCUAUCCUUUGGCAUUCGUUACAAGACAAGACAAACUUACGGGCAUCGUUGAAGAGAGUGGGCCAAUAGAAACCUGAUUGCAAUACCUUAUAGGCAGUUCUAUCUCCAGCAUGGUGUCCUCCGUAGGCUUCGGAAUGACACUUCUGCAGGAUCUGUCCCUGUUCAUGUUCAGGCACACAACAUCUAAUAACACCAUCUACUCCUUCCUUAUAAAGGUGAGGAUCAUCCCAAAAGUAGUGUCUCAAAUCAAAGAAGAAUUUCUUUUUUUGUUGAUAGGUGAAAAUGGGUGGUAUGUAUUUGGCUACGAUAUAGUUUGCAUAAUCGGCAUACCACGGUGCACUAAGUGAAGUGCGGAUGACAUUUAAUUGCUCAUCAGGAAAGCUGUCAUCAAUAGGUAGUGGGUCAUCAAGGACAUUCUCUAGCCUAGACAAGUUAUGUGCUACAGGGUUAUUAGCACCCUUUCGGACAACGACGUGCAAAUCAAAUUCCUGUAGCAGGAGAACCCAUCUGAUCAGCCUAGGCUUAGCUUCCUUCUUCUCCAUGAGGUACUUAAUAGCAGCAUGGUCAGAGUGAAUAGUGACUUCGGAGUCAACUAUGUAAGAUCUGAACUUUUCACAUGCAAACACGACUGCUAAAAAUUCCUUUUCCGUAGUGGCAUAGUUUCUUUGGGCACUGUCUAGAGUUUUACUAGCGUAGUGAAUGACAUUCAACUUCUUGUCAAUU